ACGCGAUGAAAUCUUCUCUUUGAGCAAACCAACCCGUGGUUGGAUGGUUAGGAGGACUGUGGUAUCCCCUGCCCACCAGAGUUCAAGUCCCAGACUUGACGUUGGUGCUUGCAUUUUCGUGGAUUUAUUCCAGGUCUUCCGGCGAUGUGCUUUCAGUGGGAAGAGACGUUCCCGUCGACAACGAAAGCCUCAGUGGCAACUUCGUCAAUCACAAGAUGAUGUGUCGGCUUAGUCUCUUGAAUGUGCUCAUAGGGGUAGGGUGUGCAUGCGUGCGUUCAUAGGGGUGAGUGUACGCUCGUGUAUCUGAGCGACUUUGAUUGUACUCUGCUAAAAAAAGAAAUAUUCUCUCUGAUUUUUUCUCUGGAGAUGUGAAUUUAUAGCAUUGGAAUUAGGAUCAGAGGAGCCACGUGGGC
This 413-nucleotide long non-coding RNA is filed under the name Hordeum vulgare. RNAcentral describes it as "long non-coding RNA (HVUL_LNC011073)". The record is from RNAcentral. Lineage: Eukaryota; Viridiplantae; Streptophyta; Magnoliopsida; Poales; Poaceae.